This 300-nucleotide unclassified non-coding RNA is filed under the name plant metagenome. RNAcentral's name for it is "partial contains 5.8S ribosomal RNA, internal transcribed spacer 2, and large subunit ribosomal RNA". The stretch from base 1 to 105 matches the Rfam family "5.8S ribosomal RNA", at positions 50 to 154 of the family's 154-position model. The record is from RNAcentral.
GAAAUGCGAUAAGUAAUGUGAAUUGCAGAAUUCAGUGAAUCAUCGAAUCUUUGAACGCAUAUUGCGCCCCCUGGUAUUCCGGGGGGCAUGCCUGUUCGAGCGUCAUUUCACCACUCAAGCCUCGCUUGGUAUUGGGCGACGCGGUCCGCCGCGCGCCUCAAAUCGACCGGCUGGGUCUUUCGUCCCCUCAGCGUUGUGGAAACUAUUCGCUAAAGGGUGCCGCGGGAGGCCACGCCGUAAAACAACCCCAUUUUCUAAGGUUGACCUCGGAUCAGGUAGGGAUACCCGCUGAACUUAAGC